This 1795-nucleotide long non-coding RNA is filed under the name Cinara cedri. The record is from RNAcentral. Lineage: Eukaryota; Metazoa; Arthropoda; Insecta; Hemiptera; Aphididae.
UAUAGUUAUGUGUGGAAACUUUAAAUGUUUAAACGAAAUUGAGAAUAACAACAUUUUAUUAAAAAACUAAUAAUCGUUAUUAAUAAUUAAUCUGUCAAGUCUUAAUAUCUAUAAUAAUAAAUUAUACAUAUAUUAAUUAAAAUUAAACAUCUAAAAAUGAAAAAAUAUAUUUUUAAACAAAUUUUACAAAUUUUUAAAUCCAAAUUAAUUCAAAUAAUAAAAUGAUUUAUAAGUACAUUGGUCACUUAUUAAUACAGUGUGUUUCACUCAUAUAAAAAUACAAAAUACUUUAACUGGAUAGAUAUAGAUUGAAAUUAGUUUUCUUAGGAAGUUAACACACAUUUCGAAUCAAUUAUCAACAUUUUAAGUUGGUCAGCAAAUUUCUCUAUAAACAUGUUAAAAAAAACCAUCAAGUGUAAUAAUGUUAUAAAAUAUUAGAGUUGAUUAAGUUUUCCGAAUCUAUUAAUUUUUGUUUUGCUACUCUUAAACUGUAGUGCUCAAUAUUUGAACUCUCCUCGACUUAAUUUAAAAGAACCUAAACUCCCAACUUUAUUAAAUAUAAUUCAGGUGCAUGUUGAUAUUUUUUAUUAUUUUAUGUUUAGAUACUCAGAAAGCUAAUAUGUAUGUUGUAUAUCAUAUGUGUCGUGGAAGUCCUUAAGAAAAUAUAAUCGAUGAUUCUAUUAUAAUGACAUUUUGGAUAUUAAAGAGAGCAAUGUAAGUUUUCAAACAAGCAAAAACAAAUGUUUAAGGUUUAACAGAUUAAUUAAUAAUCUAUUCCUUAAAAUAAUUUGUUAUUUAUGACAUCAAUGUAUGAAACACUAAAAAUAAAAUAAGGAUCUUAAUAUUCUUUGUUAUUUAGUGCUAUUUAGGUCCCCAAUAAAAAAAUAUGAUUUUUUAAACAAAUUUAAAAUGCUUUUUAUAUAAUUUUAAGGUUAUCUUUACUAAUAUGUUUUCAUCAUAAAACAGUAAUUUAAUAAAGGUUUUAUAUAUUUACAUACAAAUUUUAUAUUUUUUUGAUACAUAGUAUGAUUGUAAUUGGGAAAAUUAACACUCGUGAUAUUUUCCCUGGGACAGAGGAUAUAAUUUCUCCAGUGAAAUAUUAACUUAUUAAGAGAAAUUAUACCCUUCCCCACCCAUCAAAUUUCACUCAGUACAUAAUCACUGUCAUGCCAUUGUAUUAUUAAAUAAAUAACCAUUAAAAAUAGCAUAAAUUAAUGAAUAAUUUAUAACCUCAAAUUCACAUUUUUUUAAACUUUAUACUACUAUAACUCAUAAUUAAAAAUUACAAGUUAGAAUUGCUUAAAAAAAAAAAAAAAUAGGACAAUUCAAAUUGAAUGCUAAAAAUAAGUGUUUCUAUCUAAGAUGAUAAUGUAAGAUUUUAUUGAUUAUACACACAUCUCAAAAUAUACAAUUUAAGAAAAUUGACCUAAAAUGUGUAUUUUAGUAAUCUGAGAUCUUCUUAAACAUUUAAAUUUUAAUUGAAGUCCAUUCAGCUAAAAUAUUUUGUAACUAUUUGAGAAAAACAUACUGUACACAAGGUGAUUCCUAGAUCACAAAUCAGUAAUUCUAACUAGUAAUCUACAAAGAUUUUAGUUUUUUCAUACAUUAUAAAAUGAUUUAAUAAUCUUAUAUUCUUAAUAAUAAUCUUCAUACUUUUUUCCAUAUACCCAAACUAUAAACAUAUUUAAAAUAAAUGUUCCAUAUUUUUAUUCUCAAAUUUAAAAAGAUAUUGUUUUUUCUUAAAAAUUAAUAAAAAAUUAUCGAAACACAAAAUAAGGAAUAAGGUGAUAAUAUU